GCGCACGCUGGCGGCAGGCCUCACACAUGCAAGUCGCACGAACCUUUCGGGGUUAGUGGCGGACGGGUGAGUAACACGUGGGAACGUGCCUUUAGGUUCGGAAUAACUCAGGGAAACUUGUGCUAAUACCGAAUGUGCCCUUCGGGGGAAAGAUUUAUCGCCUUUAGAGCGGCCCGCGUCUGAUUAGCUAGUUGGUUGAGGUAAUGGCUCACCAAGGCGACGAUCAGUAGCUGGUCUGAGAGGAUGAUCAGCCACAUUGGGACUGAGACACGGCCCAAACUCCUACGGGAGGCAGCAGUGGGGAAUCUUGCGCAUUGGGCGAAAGCCUGACGCAGCCAUGCCGCGUGAAUGAUGAAGGUCUUAGGAUUGUAAAAUUCUUUCACCGGGGACGAUAAUGACGGUACCCGGAGAAGAAGCCCCGGCUAACUUCGUG
This 433-nucleotide ribosomal RNA is filed under the name uncultured bacterium. RNAcentral's name for it is "partial 16S ribosomal RNA". It matches the Rfam family "Bacterial small subunit ribosomal RNA", at positions 29 to 507 of the family's 1533-position model. The record is from RNAcentral.